This 492-nucleotide ribosomal RNA is filed under the name uncultured bacterium. RNAcentral describes it as "partial 16S ribosomal RNA". It matches the Rfam family "Bacterial small subunit ribosomal RNA", at positions 29 to 507 of the family's 1533-position model. The record is from RNAcentral.
AGUGAACGCUGGCGGUAGGCCUAACACAUGCAAGUCGAACGGCAGCACAGUAAGAGCUUGCUCUUACGGGUGGCGAGUGGCGGACGGGUGAGGAAUACAUCGGAAUCUACUUUUUCAUGGGGGAUAACGUAGGGAAACUUACGCUAAUACCGCAUACGACCUACGGGUGAAAGCAGGGGAUCUUCGGACCUUGCGCGAUUGAAUGAGCCGAUGUCGGAUUAGCUAGUUGGCGGGGUAAAGGCCCACCAAGGCGACGAUCCGUAGCUGGUCUGAGAGGAUGAUCGGCCACACUGGAACUGAGACACGGUCCAGACUCCUACGGGAGGCAGCAGUGGGGAAUAUUGGACAAUGGGCGCAAGCCUGAUCCAGCCAUACCGCGUGGGUGAAGAAGGCCUUCGGGUUGUAAAGCCCUUUUGUUGGGAAAGAAAAGCAGCAGGUUAAUACCCCGCUGUUCUGACGGUACCCAAAGAAUAAGCACCGGCUAACUUCGUG